Molecule: non-coding RNA, 1416 nt
Organism: Kogia breviceps (pygmy sperm whale)
Lineage: Eukaryota; Metazoa; Chordata; Mammalia; Artiodactyla; Physeteridae
Source: RefSeq, a predicted model, not a curated record
GGGCCUGGAAAUGCCGAAAUGAGAUUGUCUUAGUCGUUAGGCUUUUCCUGUUGCUUUUCAAGUCAAGGUGACGGAGACCAUGCUGAGUGGAUUCAGGGCCCAGCCCUGUAGGUACUUAAUGACUUCAGUGUGGGCUUUUAAUCUCCUGCCCUAGUGUUAUCUUACUUGCCCAGACAAGCCUUCCCCAUUCUAGGAGAGUGUGGGAAAAUUAACAAUGCCAGAGCAACCGGGGAAGGAAAGAAAUGUCUGAAGCUAGUAAUGAAUUGCAUUAGUAUUUAUUUUAAUGCGGUCUGGAAACAUACAGCUUGAAAUCUCUGUGCUGCUUAAAGAGAGACCAGCACCCUUCCGUGGAGGUAAAAAAAUAAAAAGAGGAUUGAAAAAUAUACAGAGCAUAGCAAUCUUUACUGCUGGAGCAGCUCUCAGGAAACCUGAAGUGCUGAAUGUAAUAAAAUGUUGACAGGAGUUUCACUUAACAUGCGGGAACUCUGGACCAGAACGACAUCUUUGGCACCAAAGGAAAUCAGGAGAAUAAAAGCAGUCGUCAGGAUUUGAAGUAAAGCCACAGAUUAUUACCAUCUGUACAUUUUCCAGACCCCAUGCAAAACCAGAAAGCCAGGACCCAGACUGGAGAGAAACAGGAAACUUGGCAGAGGGGGAUGCUUUUCAGAGUAACUUAAGAAAACUUCAAAGGCCGCUAAUUUCCCCAGAUCUCUCCGAACUAGAAGCACUGUUUCUUCCAAAGAAGUUCAAAGUGCCAUGAGGAGAGACACCAGAACUUGGUCAGAUUUCAAGUUCAGGAGUAGACCUGAGCUCCCGGAUGAGAGAAGAAGCUGCCCCCCAAGCCUGGGUAGUCCAGAGAACCCCCCGAUGGGAGUGGGCCAUCCUGUCACCUUGGCGGGGCCUCACCCUGCUGCUCUGGGGCAAACAGUGCCCCUCCUGCCCACUGUCUGCCGUUGCACCCGACUAGACCAUUUCGGGCGUGCUUGAGGCAAAGGUGAAGCAGUUGCCCUGGCUGUGAAGUUCACAGGUUCCCGAGAAGGUGAGGGGGAAGGAGAGUCCUCAGCUACUUUUGGCCUGUGACAGCCUCUAGGUAGAAAAGGUCCUGGGGAAAGAUAAGGACACCUCAAGAUACCAGUCCUGGUUUUAGAAGUGUCUUCCUAGCGGGGUUUAGUAGAACACAUGUGAAUUUUACAAUCAGAACAAACUGGUUCGGGACCCCAGUUUUGCUCGCUGCCUGUGUGACCCUGAACGAGCUACUCGUUCUCUCUCUGCACCUCAGUUUCUUCAUCUGUGAAGUGGGUCGUGGUGAUCACUUGAGGGUUUUCUUUUGAGGCUUUGAUGCAAUGACAUAGAUGAAGUGCCUAGCAGAUUGUAGGGCUCCUUGUGGGCCCUCAAAAAUAGGGACAGUUGAUCAGU